This 586-nucleotide ribosomal RNA is filed under the name uncultured bacterium. RNAcentral's name for it is "partial 16S ribosomal RNA". It matches the Rfam family "Bacterial small subunit ribosomal RNA", at positions 355 to 1375 of the family's 1533-position model. The record is from RNAcentral.
UGGGGAAUAUUGCACAAUGGGCGCAAGCCUGAUGCAGCCAUGCCGCGUGUGUGAAGAAGGCCUUCGGGUUGUAAAGCACUUUCAGCGAGGAGGAAGGUGGUGAGCUUAAUACGCUCAUCAAUUGACGUUACUCGCAGAAGAAGCACCGGCUAACUCCGUGCCAGCAGCCGCGGCAAUACGGAGGGUGCAAGCGUUAAUCGGAAUUACUGGGCGUAAAGCGCACGCAGGCGGUUUGUUAAGUCAGAUGUGAAAUCCCCGGGCUCAACCUGGGAACUGCAUUUGAAACUGGCAAGCUAGAGUCUCGUAGAGGGGGUAGAAUUCCAGGUGUAGCGGUGAAAUGCGUAGAGAUCUGGAGGAAUACCGGUGGCGAAGGCGGCCCCCUGGACGAAGACUGACGCUCAGGUGCGAAAGCGUGGGGAGCAAACAGGAUUAGAUACCCUGGUAGUCCACGCUGUAAACGAUGUCGAUUUUGGAGGUUGUGCCCUUGAGGCGUGGCUUCCGGAGCUAACGCGUUAAAUCGACCGCCUGGGGAGUACGGCCGCAAGGUUAAAACUCAAAUGAAUUGACGGGGUCAUAGCUGUUUCCU